This 327-nucleotide long non-coding RNA is filed under the name Elaeis guineensis (African oil palm). RNAcentral's name for it is "long non-coding RNA (EGUI_LNC073358)". Lineage: Eukaryota; Viridiplantae; Streptophyta; Magnoliopsida; Arecales; Arecaceae. The record is from RNAcentral.
GGUGCAUGCAUUAUAUGCAAAAAUCCUAAGUCUAGGCAAUGCGCAUCCAAUGUAUCAUUCCAAGGCUCUGUGCAUCACAUGCACUUGAUUUAUAAUUUCAUAGAAAAUUAGAUCAUAGGAUCUAACUUAAACUUGUCUCACAAGUUUAAAGACUGUGGAAUCUCAUAUCCAAGUUUGAUCAUGGACUGAUAACAUUUAUCUUUUGAAGAAAACAUAAGCAGCUAUACAUGUAAUUUUAAAAUUUUAUGUAGUGAAACUAUUAUAUUAAAUAAUUUAAUCUAAUUUAUAUACAUAAGAACUAAUCAUGACUACCAUGCCAAGAUCUAU